ACCAGCUGCUAUAUCACCCUGUAACUCAGAACUGGCAAGCCACUGAAGCGCAGCAGGUGUGAGCCUGGCCAGUGCCUGGGUGGGAGAUCUCCUGGGAAAGCUAAGGUUGCUGCUGGAA
RNAcentral lists this ribosomal RNA (118 nucleotides) under Lepisosteus oculatus (spotted gar). Lineage: Eukaryota; Metazoa; Chordata; Actinopteri; Semionotiformes; Lepisosteidae. The record is from RNAcentral.